AACGAACGCUGGCGGCAGGCCUAACACAUGCAAGUCGAACGCUCGUAGCAAUACGAGAGUGGCAGACGGGUGAGUAACGCGUGGGAACCUACCCUUUGGUUCGGAAUAGCCCAGGGAAACUUGGGGUAAUACCGGAUAAGCCCUUCGGGGGAAAGAUUUAUCGCCAUCGGAUGGGCCCGCGUCGGAUUAGCUAGUUGGUGGGGUAACGGCCUACCAAGGCGACGAUCCGUAGCUGGUCUGAGAGGAUGANCAGCCACACUGGGACUGAGACACGGCCCAGACUCCUACGGGAGGCAGCAGUGGGGAAUAUUGGACAAUGGGCGCAAGCCUGAUCCAGCCAUGCCGCGUGAGUGACGAAGGUCUUCGGAUUGUAAAGCUCUCUUGGC
RNAcentral lists this ribosomal RNA (386 nucleotides) under uncultured bacterium. RNAcentral's name for it is "bacterial SSU rRNA". It matches the Rfam family "Bacterial small subunit ribosomal RNA", at positions 29 to 440 of the family's 1533-position model. The record is from RNAcentral.